This 415-nucleotide long non-coding RNA is filed under the name Numida meleagris (helmeted guineafowl). RNAcentral's name for it is "lncRNA (ENSNMEG00000000158.1)". The record is from RNAcentral. Lineage: Eukaryota; Metazoa; Chordata; Aves; Galliformes; Numididae.
GAAGAUGUGUGCAAUAUUGAUGCUGCGCUCACGGCAAUAAUUGGGCUUUGUACCAACUUGUUCUUUCAUUCUUACAUAUCAUCCCGAGAAAAGAGGUUAAAUGUAAAUUGAGGAAAUGGCUUCACUGCAUGCUGUCACAAUGCACAGAGAGGUCUGAGCUAGUUUUAACCUCUCUUGUCGGAGUGGACAACCUGUGCUACAUAGAUUGCUUCUACAGCUCUGCAAUUCUGCUUUGCUGGAGAAGUCACAUCCCAAGAAGAGUUAAAGGACUUCAAGUGGCAGCUCAAAAUGUGACAGCAGGUGCUGCUUCCACCUAAACCACAGUAACACUGUCUUGUGGUUCAGGCAUUCUAAUUUUAAAGUUUGCCAGCCACUGAAAAUUUUAUUACUGGAACAGUGCCUGACAUGAGCACAG